CUACGGGGUGCAGCAGUCGAGAAUCAUUGUCAAUGUACGAAAGUAUGAACAUGCGACGCCGCGUGGAGGACGACGGCCUUCGGGUUGUAAACUCCUGUCCUGAGGGAGUAAGUGCAGGGAAGUUAAUACCUUUCCUGUUUGAUAGUACCUCAGAAGAAAGUCACGGCUAACUCUGUGCCAGCAGCCGCGGUAAUACAGAGGUGGCAAGUGUUGUUCGGAUUUACUGGGCGUAAAGGGUCCGCAGGCGGUCCUGUGUGUCGGAUGUGAAAGCUCACGGCUUAACCGUGGAAGUGCAUUCGAAACUACAGGACUAGAGUACAGGAGGGGAGAGGGGAAUUCAGGGUGUAGCGGUGAAAUGCGUAGAUAUCCUGAAGAACACCGGUGGCGAAGGCGCCUCUCUGGACUGAUACUGACGCUCAUGGACGAAAGCUGGGGGAGCGAAGAGGAUUAGAUACCCGAGUAGUC
This 465-nucleotide ribosomal RNA is filed under the name uncultured bacterium. RNAcentral describes it as "partial 16S ribosomal RNA". It matches the Rfam family "Bacterial small subunit ribosomal RNA", at positions 339 to 795 of the family's 1533-position model. The record is from RNAcentral.